Molecule: ribosomal RNA, 912 nt
Filed under: uncultured archaeon
Lineage: Archaea
Description: bacterial SSU rRNA
Rfam family: Archaeal small subunit ribosomal RNA
Source: RNAcentral
ACCUGGUCGAUUCUGCCGGACCCGACUGCUAUCAGAGUGGGCUUAAGCCAUGCGAGUCAACGUAGUAAUACGUGGCAUACGGCUCAGUAACACGUAGUCAACAUGCCCAAGGGAUGUGAAUAACCUCGGGAAACUGAGGAUAAAUCGCAAUAGGCCAUGAAUACUGGAAUGGUUCAUGACCGAAAUCUAUAUGGCCCUUGGAUUGGACUGCGGCCGAUCAGGCUGUUGGUGAGGUAAUGGCCCACCAAACCUAUAACCGGUACGGGCUCUGAGAGGAGGAGCCCGGAGAUGGGCACUGAGACAAGGGCCCAGGUCCUAUGGGGCGCAGCAGGCGCGAAACCUCUGCAAUAGGCGAAAGCCUGACAGGGUUACUCUGAGUGGUUUCCGAUAAGGAGAUCUUUUGGCACCCCUAAAAAUGGUGCAGAAUAAGGGGUGGGCAAGUCUGGUGUCAGCCGCCGCGGUAAUACCAGCACCCCGAGUGGUCGGGACGAUUAUUGGGCCUAAAGCAUCCGUAGCCGGUCCAGCAAGUCCUCCGUUAAAUCCACCUGCUUAACAGAUGGGCUGCGGGGGAUACUACUGGGCUAGGAGGCGGGAGAGGCAAGCGGUACUCAGUGGGUAGGGGUAAAAUCCUCUGAUCCACUGAAGACCACCAGUGGCGAAGGCGGCUUGCCAGAACGCGCUCGACGGUGAGGGAUGAAAGCUGGGGGAGCAAACCGGAUUAGAUACCCGGGUAGUCCCAGCCGUAAACGAUGCAGACUCGGUGAUGGGCUGACUUUAUGUCAGCCCAGUGCCGCAGGGAAGCCGUUAAGUCUGCCGCCUGGGGAGUACGGUCGCAAGACUGAAACUUAAAGGAAUUGGCGGGGGAGCACCACAAGGGGUGAAGCCUGCGGUUCAAUUGGAGUCAACGCCGGA